CCCUUAGAUGUUCUGGGCCGCACGCGUGCUACACUGAGUGGAUCAGCGGGUCAGGUUGCGCGAAAGCGUUUCCUAAUCUUUAAAUCCGCUCGUGAUGGGGAUUGACGGUUGCAAUUUUCUGUCAUGAACGAGGAAUACCUUGUAAGCGCGGGUCAUCAUCCCGCGCUGAAUACGUCCCUGCCCUUUGUACACACCGCCCGUCGCUCCUACCGAUUGAGUGGUCCGGUGAGGCUUUGGGAUCUGAGCGGAAGGAGCGUUUCGCUGUUUCUGCUCGGAAAACUCAGUCGAACCUUAUCAUUUAGAGGAAGGAGAAGUCGUAACA
This 322-nucleotide ribosomal RNA is filed under the name uncultured eukaryote. RNAcentral describes it as "partial 18S ribosomal RNA". It matches the Rfam family "Eukaryotic small subunit ribosomal RNA", at positions 1470 to 1796 of the family's 1831-position model. The record is from RNAcentral.